GAUGAACGCUGGCGGCGUGCCUAAUACAUGCAAGUCGAGCGAAUGGAUUAAGAGCUUGCUCUUAUGAAGUUAGCGGCGGACGGGUGAGUAACACGUGAGUAACCUGCCCAUAAGACUGGGAUAACUCCGGGAAACCGGGGCUAAUACCGGAUAACAUUUUGAACCGCAUGGUUCGAAAUUGAAAGGCGGCUUCGGCUGUCACUUAUGGAUGGACCCGCGUCGCAUUAGCUAGUUGGGGAGGUAACGGCUCACCAAGGCAACGAUGCGUAGCCGACCUGGGAGGGUGAUCGGCCACACUGGGACUGAGACACGGCCCAGACUCCUACGGGAGGCAGCAGUAGGGAAUCUUCCGCAAUGGACGAAAGUCUGACGGAGCAACGCCGCGUGAGUGAUGAAGGCUUUCGGGUCGUAAAACUCUGUUGUUAGGGAAGAACAAGUGCUAGUUGAAUAAGCUGGCACCUUGACGGUACCUAACCAGAAAGCCACGGCUAACUACGUGCCAGCCGCCGCCGUAA
This 515-nucleotide ribosomal RNA is filed under the name uncultured bacterium. Its description in RNAcentral is "partial 16S ribosomal RNA". It matches the Rfam family "Bacterial small subunit ribosomal RNA", at positions 28 to 523 of the family's 1533-position model. The record is from RNAcentral.